This 424-nucleotide ribosomal RNA is filed under the name Fusobacteriota bacterium. RNAcentral's name for it is "Fusobacteria bacterium partial 16S ribosomal RNA". It matches the Rfam family "Bacterial small subunit ribosomal RNA", at positions 355 to 776 of the family's 1533-position model. The record is from RNAcentral. Lineage: Bacteria; Fusobacteriati; Fusobacteriota.
UGAGGAAUAUUGGUCAAUGGGCGAGAGCCUGAACCAGCCAAGUAGCGUGCAGGAUGACGGCCCUAUGGGUUGUAAACCGCUUUUAUGGGGGGAUAAAGUGCGGGACGGGUAAUGCAUUGCAGGUACCACAGGAAUAAGGACCGGCUAAUUCCGUGCCAGCCGCCGCGGUAAUACGGAAGGUCCGGGCGUUAUCCGGAUUUAUUGGGUUUAAAGGGAGCGUAGGCUGUCUAUUAAGCGUGUUGUGAAAUUUACCGGCUCAACCGGUGGCUUGCAGCGCGAACUGGUCGACUUGAGUAUGCAGGAAGUAGGCGGAAUUCAUGGUGUAGCGGUGAAAUGCUUAGAUAUCAUGACGAACUCCGAUUGCGCAGGCAGCUUACUGUAGCAUAACUGACGCUGAUGCUCGAAAGUGCGGGUAUCAAACAGG